This 255-nucleotide ribosomal RNA is filed under the name uncultured bacterium. RNAcentral's name for it is "partial 16S ribosomal RNA". It matches the Rfam family "Bacterial small subunit ribosomal RNA", at positions 524 to 776 of the family's 1533-position model. The record is from RNAcentral.
UACGUAGGGGGCUAGCGUUGUCCGGAAUCAUUGGGCGUAAAGCGCGCGUAGGCGGCCCGGUAAGUCCGCUGUAAAAGUCAAAGGCUCAACCUUUGAAUGUCAGUGGAUACUGCCGGGCUAGAGUCCGGAAGAGGAGAGUGGAAUUCCUGGUGUAGCGGUGGAAUGCGUAGAGAUCCGGAAGAACACCGGUGGCGAAGGCGGCCUGCUGGGCAGUUUAGCUGACACUGAGGCGCGACAGCGUGGGGAGCAAACAGG